This is a long non-coding RNA of Daphnia pulicaria, 1080 nucleotides long. RefSeq lists it as uncharacterized. The transcript has 5 exons. The record is from RefSeq and is a predicted model, not a curated record. NCBI's taxonomy places the organism in Eukaryota, Metazoa, Arthropoda, Branchiopoda, Diplostraca, Daphniidae.
UUUUGUGUUGAUUUUAAGAAAGUAGAAACAAAUUUGUGUGUUUAAUCACACAUUCACACAUCAUGCCUGCUUUCUACAGUCUGGUAUUUGGUAAUAGGACAACACCGCUCAUUAACGACAUUCGCAUUUCGCAGUUCGGAUUUCGGAAGGUCGUCUGCACUCUUCAGGACUGCAAAAGCUGUUUUUGUAAGGUUAAGGUGUCACACAGUCACACUCACAGCAACACAAACAGCAUUGACGGUAAAAAUCAUCCUACCACUAGGCUCCAAUGAAACAAAUCUAAGCUUUCAAGUGCAGUGUGACUGUCAAAGUUACCUCGGCCCAUGGAGACGCCAGCAAUGUAGAACAAAUACUUAAAGCUAUACCAACACUCAUCUAUAUGUGGACUGCCAUCAGGACGUUUGCCUGAAACAAGAAGAAUUCCAAUCUCCAGUCUACAUGGUGAUUGGCGUGGAUUACAGUUCCACUAUCGGCAACAACAACAAAAUCUGUUGAAGAAAAGACACUGAGAAGAACGUCAAUGCUGGUGUGGAAUCGUCGAUACAGGCAACCCAGUUUUGCUUACGUGUUUAAGAUUCAACGGGAAAAAAACCGGAUAUUCGUUCAACAUCUUCUACAGACAUCCCUUACAAUGUGAAUAACAAUAUUAUUGACGAAAUUCCUUAUUUCUCAUUUCAGACUCUGUAAUCUUUGAUUACAGCCGACCGCCUUCCAGGGUUCCGCAGGGUUCCAGGGUUUUCUUAUCAAUAAUGCAGGAGUAUUGUAUUAAUGUAUUCCAUCCUCCUAAAGAAACUGCAGAUAAAUUUGAUGUCACCUUUCAGACCAAUUAUUUGGGGCAUUUUCUUUUGAUUGAAUUACUGCUUCCAGUAUUAUCGGAUCAAAGCCGCGUAAUAUUUUUGUCAUCGGCUGCACAUUUCUUAACUAUAGAUCGAUGGUUAGACUUGAAGAGUGCAUGUAUUUUCGACAAAGGAGCACCGGAACAUCAGCAAGAUUUCAGAGUUACGCUAAAGCAAAGCUAUGCUUAUAUUGUUGUAUAGUAUGACUUUUGCACGUUCCAAGGAUAGAGGCAUUCGUGUUUAU